GGCUGGUCUGAUGGUAGUGGGUUAUCAAAAUUUAUUAACAUUAGUGUUACUAAAGUUGGUAUACAACCCCCUACUGCUAAAUUUGACUGGCUUUAG
This 96-nucleotide Y RNA is filed under the name Propithecus coquereli (Coquerel's sifaka). RNAcentral's name for it is "Y RNA (ENSPCOG00000011729.1)". It matches the Rfam family "Y RNA". Rfam says of the family: Y RNAs are components of the Ro ribonucleoprotein particle (Ro RNP), in association with Ro60 and La proteins. The Y RNAs and Ro60 and La proteins are well conserved, but the function of the Ro RNP is not known. The record is from RNAcentral. Lineage: Eukaryota; Metazoa; Chordata; Mammalia; Primates; Indriidae.